CCUUUCGUCCGGCGGCCGGCUAGGAGCAGCAUCGGAGAGCUGGGAGCCGCGGACACCGACCGCGAUCCUGGGAAAGGCCAUGGAUAGAUCAGACAGUGAGGCUCCCUGUAGAGCUGUGGUUAUGUCAGUCUGCCUUGUGCUUGCCUCUAGGGCGUCCAGCUUUGUCCAGUAGGCAGCAGUGUCUGCUCAAGGCCGGGUGUAAAUAAAAACUAUCAAAAUCAGCGAAGCUAAAGUUGCUUUCCAAAAUUAAGUGAUUUGGGUGAUGUUGAAAUAGCGAUUCAGAAUUUCUAGAAAGCGUGUUCGGAAUGCAUUCCAGAUCUCCACCCGACUGCAAUUCCGAUUAUUCAAGGUUGAAACAGGGGAUAUAUUCUGUUGGAUGAGAGGUCUCAGUUCCAGCAAGGGAGACAUCUUACCAGGAGAAAUAAUAAUGGUGUCACUGAGCUGAAAAUUGGACUGCCACUGGGAUGCUCUAGGCUUCUCGUGCCUCUGAGUCAACAGGCAAGGAAGGAAGUCAAGGCUGUUGCUGUAGGGCUCGGGCUCGGUACUGAGUACCAAGGAGAAACUGGAUCUGAACGUACAACUGGUGGCAAGUCACCGUUUCCCACAGAGACUGACCCAGGCACGACUGCCAGCUGCUCAGAAACGGUGGCCAGACUCAGUGGUGGGACCAGAUGCCAGACAUCUGUCUUCUAUCAACUAGGAUCAAAAUAAAACCCUACUCAAGAGCCAACUUAAUGUAGCACGUGUAGCAGAAACAAAGAUGGCCCGGUUGCCUGUUCAGCAAAGCGUCUAUUACAGGAUCUCCCACCUUCUCAACAGCUGGAGGGAUCGAGCCCCUUCAAUGCGACCUUUCGCUCUCCUGUCCUUUUCUCUUAUGCUAGACUGCCUUAUUUUUCAACUACCUACCUCUUUAGACUCUCCUCUUCUUGACCUUAGAUUCUCUAUAAGACGCUCAGCACCUGUUUACCCCUUUACCCCAAAGUAACCCUUUUUUGAAGUUUCUCCAUUAGGUCUCUCCUGACUUGGGAAUUUCUAUGACUAUAUUUACAUAUAUUAAAUGUAUAUAUUUCCACCUAAA
This is a non-coding RNA of Rattus norvegicus (Norway rat), 1078 nucleotides long. NCBI's taxonomy places the organism in Eukaryota, Metazoa, Chordata, Mammalia, Rodentia, Muridae. The record is from RefSeq and is a predicted model, not a curated record.